CGCCAUGGCACCAAAGGGACAGUUCGACAAGCAGGACAUGGAGACGAUUGUGAAGACUCUUUCCAAGGAAGCGAACCAGAAGGUUCUCUUCAACCAGGCUGCU
RNAcentral lists this non-coding RNA (103 nucleotides) under Platyophrya macrostoma. The record is from RNAcentral. Lineage: Eukaryota; Ciliophora; Colpodea; Cyrtolophosidida; Platyophryidae.